Molecule: non-coding RNA, 46 nt
Organism: Schistosoma curassoni
Lineage: Eukaryota; Metazoa; Platyhelminthes; Trematoda; Strigeidida; Schistosomatidae
Source: Rfam
GCACUGCCGAGUAGUCCCACAAUAGGACGAAACGGCCGUCCAGUGC